GGCGGACGGGUGAGUAACGCGUGAGCAACCUGCCUUUCACAGGGGGAUAACGCAUCGAAAGGUGCACUAAUACCGCAUGAGACCACGCUCCCGACAUGAGAGAGGGGUCAAAGGAGCAAUCCGGUGAGAGAUGGGCUCGCGUCUGAUUAGCUGGUUGGUGAGGUAACGGCCCACCAAGGCGACGAUCAGUAGCCGACCUGAGAGGGUGAUCGGCCACAUUGGAACUGAGAGACGGUCCAAACUCCUACGGGAGGCAGCAGUGGGGAAUAUUGGGCAAUGGGGGAAACCCUGACCCAGCAACGCCGCGUGAAGGAAGAAGGUUUUCGGAUCGUAAACUUCUAUCCUUGGUGAAAAUAGUGAUGGUAGCCAAGAAGGAAGCCCCGGCUAACUACGUGCCA
Molecule: ribosomal RNA, 398 nt
Filed under: uncultured bacterium
Lineage: Bacteria
Description: bacterial SSU rRNA
Rfam family: Bacterial small subunit ribosomal RNA
Source: RNAcentral